Molecule: ribosomal RNA, 253 nt
Filed under: uncultured bacterium
Lineage: Bacteria
Description: partial 16S ribosomal RNA
Rfam family: Bacterial small subunit ribosomal RNA
Source: RNAcentral
UACGAAGGGGGCUAGCGUUGUUCGGAAUUACUGGGCGUAAAGCGCACGUAGGCGGAUACUUAAGUCAGGGGUGAAAUCCCGGGGCUCAACCCCGGAACUGCCUUUGAUACUGGGUAUCUCGAGUCCGGAAGAGGUGAGUGGAAUUUCGAGUGUAGAGGUGAAAUUCGUAGAUAUUCGGAGGAACACCAGUGGCGAAGGCGGCUCACUGGUCCGGUACUGACGCUGAGGUGCGAAAGCGUGGGGAGCAAACAGG